This 1374-nucleotide ribosomal RNA is filed under the name Antipodochlora braueri. RNAcentral's name for it is "eukaryotic LSU rRNA". It matches the Rfam family "Eukaryotic large subunit ribosomal RNA", at positions 603 to 1721 of the family's 3401-position model. Lineage: Eukaryota; Metazoa; Arthropoda; Insecta; Odonata; Corduliidae. The record is from RNAcentral.
CGCGUCCAGCCCUCCGCAAGCGCCAGCUGGAGUGCCGUUCCGGGCCCGGCCCACUGCCGCGUCCUCCGCUGGGCUGUUUGCGAUCGAAGAGGUGUCUUCGGACGGCGUCUUAUCUUCCGCUCUACGGCGCUUCAGCUUGGAAGGCCUACCCGACCCGUCUUGAAACACGGACCAAGGAGUCUAACAUGUGCGCAAGUCGUCGGGUCGAUCACGCUUCCCUAAACCCGCAGGCGCAAUGAAAGUGAAGGCCGCCCUUCAGCGGGGCCGAGGGAGGACGGGGGCUCCUUGAGGGCCCCCCGCACUCCCGGGGCGUCUGAUUCCUCACUGCGAGGGGAGGCGCACCCAGAGCGCACACGUUGGGACCCGAAAGAUGGUGAACUAUGCCUGGCUAGGACGAAGUCAGGGGAAACCCUGAUGGAGGUCCAUAGCGAAUAUAUAUAGGUGGGUAUAGGUGCGAAAGACUAAUCGAACCAUCUAUUAGCUGGUUCCCUCCGAAGUUUCCCUCAGGAUAGCUGGCUCUCGGAGUGGAGUCUCAUCAGGUAAAGCGAAUGAUUAGAGGCCUUGGGGUCGAAACGACUUCAACCUAUUCUCAAAUUUUAUAUGGGUGAGAACUUCGGCUUGCUCGAUCAAGUAUAUUUUCAAUGAAGCUGGAGAUUGGGGAUUAGUCCCCGCGGAUCGGAGUGCCUAGUGGGCCACUUUUGGUAAGCAGAACUGGCACUGUGGGAUGAACCAAACGACGGGUUAAGGCGCCCGAAUCGACGCUCAUGGGAAACCAUGAAAGGUGUUAGUUGUUUAAGACAGCAGGACGGUGGACAUGGAAGUUGUAAUCCGCUAAGGAGUGUGUAAUAACUCACCUGCCGAAGCAACUAGCCCUGAAAAUGGAUGGCGCUGAAGCGUCGUGCCUAUACCCGGCCGUCGCGGCAGGGCGGGCCGUCUCUCCCCUCGGGGGGAGCGGGGCCGUUUGAGGCCUCGACGAGUAGGAGGGUCGCGGCGGUGCGCGCAGAAGGGUCUGGGCUUGAGCCUGCCUGGAGCCGCCGCCGGUGCAGAUCUUGGUGGUAGUAGCAAAUACUCCAGCGAGGCCCUGGAGGACUGACGUGGAGAAGGGUUUCGUGUGAACAGCCGUUGCACACGAGUCAGUCGACCCUAAGCUCUAGGAGAAAUCCGAUGUAAACGGCGUUGGGAAAAAUUAUAAGAAAGACAAAAGCCCACUGAUCGGGCGAAAGGGAAUCCGGUUCCUAUUCCGGAACCCGGCAGCGGAACCGCUGUUUGUCGGGCCCUCACAAGGGGUUCGUCAGGGCAACCUAAAAGGGCCCGGAGACGCCGUCGGGAGCCCCGGAAAGAGUUUUCUUUUCUGCAUGAGCGUUCGAGUUCCCU